Molecule: ribosomal RNA, 1485 nt
Filed under: Triticum aestivum (bread wheat)
Lineage: Eukaryota; Viridiplantae; Streptophyta; Magnoliopsida; Poales; Poaceae
Description: partial small subunit ribosomal RNA
Source: RNAcentral
AUGGGGCCGAGCAGAGGCAGCCUGGUCGCCACUGUGGCGGUGCUCCACCUGCUGCUGCUCGCUCCGAGCAUGGCAGCGGCGUUCAACUACGCAGACGCGCUCGCCAAGUCCAUCAUCUUCUUCGAGGGCCAGCGCUCCGGCAAGCUGCCCCCCGGCAACCGCAUGCCGUGGCGCGCCGACUCCGGCCUCGCCGACGGCGCGCAGUACAAUGUGGAUCUGGUCGGCGGGUACUACGACGCGGGCGACAACCUCAAGUUCGGGCUGCCGAUGGCCUUCUCGACGACGAUGCUGGCCUGGAGCGUCGCCGACUUCGGCAAGUUCAUGGGCGCCGAGCUGCCAAACGCCAGGGCCGCCGUGCGCUGGGGCGCCGACUACCUCCUCAAGGCCGCCACCGCCACCCCCGGCGCGCUCUAUGUCCAGGUCGGCGAGCCGGGACGCGACCACGCAUGCUGGGAGCGGCCGGAGGACAUGGACACGCCCCGCAGCGUCUACCGCGUCGACGCCAACAAACCGGGCUCCGACGUCGCCGGCGAAACGGCCGCGGCGCUGGCAGCGUCCUCGAUCGCGUUCCGCCGCUCCGACCCCGCCUACGCCUCCCGCCUGCUCCACGCCGCCAUGGAGGUGUUCGACUUCGCCGACCGGCACCGCGGCUCCUACAGCGACUCCCUCAGCUCCGAGGUCUGCCCGUUCUACUGCUCCUACUCGGGCUACCACGACGAGCUCCUGUGGGCGGCGUCGUGGCUGCACCGCGCGUCAAACAACGCGUCGUACAUGACGUACGUGGAGGCGUACGGCAUGCAGCUCGGCGCCGGCGACGACGACUACUCCUUCAGCUGGGACGACAAGAGGGUCGGCACCAAGGUGCUGCUCUCCAGGGGGUUCCUGCGGCGCAAGCUGCAGGGGCUGCAGCUCUACAAGGCUCACUCCGACAGCUACAUCUGCUCGCUCGUCCCCGGGACGAGCAGCUUCCAGGCUGGCCAGUACACGCCGGGAGGGCUCAUCUACAAGGAGGGCGAGAGCAACAUGCAGUACGUGACGACGGCGACGUUCCUGCUGCUCGCCUACUCCAAGUACCUCAAGUCCAGCGGCGCCACCGUGUCAUGCGGCGGCGGCGUCGUGUCGCCGGCCGACCUGGUGGCGCUGGCGAAGCGGCAGGUGGACUACAUCCUGGGGAAGAACCCGGCGGGGAGGUCGUACAUGGUCGGGUUCGGGGCGCGCUACCCGGAGCGCGCGCACCACCGGGGCGCGUCCAUGCCGUCGGUGCGCGCGCACCCGGGCCGCAUCGGCUGCGACGCCGGGUUCCAGUACCUGCACGCCGGCGGGGCCAACCCGAACGUGCUCGUGGGCGCCGUGCUGGGCGGGCCGGACUCGAGGGACGGCUUCGACGACGACCGCGGCAACUACGCGCAGUCCGAGCCCGCCACCUACAUCAAUGCGCCGCUCGUCGGCGCCCUCGCCUUCUUUGCCGGAACCACCAGGAAGUAG